Molecule: small RNA, 29 nt
Filed under: Bombyx mori (domestic silkworm)
Lineage: Eukaryota; Metazoa; Arthropoda; Insecta; Lepidoptera; Bombycidae
Description: ovarian small RNA-27812
Source: RNAcentral
UCCUCGCGGACCCGUGCCACGCGGCAGCG